This 743-nucleotide ribosomal RNA is filed under the name uncultured bacterium. Its description in RNAcentral is "bacterial SSU rRNA". It matches the Rfam family "Bacterial small subunit ribosomal RNA", at positions 1 to 716 of the family's 1533-position model. The record is from RNAcentral.
UAGAGUUUGAUCCUGGCUCAGGACGAACGCUGGCGGCGUGCCUAAUACAUGCAAGUCGAACGAACUCUGGUAUUGAUUGGUGCUUGCAUCAUGAUUUACAUUUGAGUGAGUGGCGAACUGGUGAGUAACACGUGGGAAACCUGCCCAGAAGCGGGGGAUAACACCUGGAAACAGAUGCUAAUACCGCAUAACAACUUGGACCGCAUGGUCCGAGUUUGAAAGAUGGCUUCGGCUAUCACUUUUGGAUGGUCCCGCGGCGUAUUAGCUAGAUGGUGGGGUAACGGCUCACCAUGGCAAUGAUACGUAGCCGACCUGAGAGGGUAAUCGGCCACAUUGGGACUGAGACACGGCCCAAACUCCUACGGGAGGCAGCAGUAGGGAAUCUUCCACAAUGGACGAAAGUCUGAUGGAGCAACGCCGCGUGAGUGAAGAAGGGUUUCGGCUCGUAAAACUCUGUUGUUAAAGAAGAACAUAUCUGAGAGUAACUGUUCAGGUAUUGACGGUAUUUAACCAGAAAGCCACGGCUAACUACGUGCCAGCAGCCGCGGUAAUACGUAGGUGGCAAGCGUUGUCCGGAUUUAUUGGGCGUAAAGCGAGCGCAGGCGGUUUUUUAAGUCUGAUGUGAAAGCCUUCGGCUCAACCGAAGAAGUGCAUCGGAAACUGGGAAACUUGAGUGCAGAAGAGGACAGUGGAACUCAUAUGUAGCGGUGAAAUGCGUAGAUAUAUGGAAGAACACCAGUGGC